Molecule: long non-coding RNA, 2785 nt
Filed under: Homo sapiens (human)
Lineage: Eukaryota; Metazoa; Chordata; Mammalia; Primates; Hominidae
Description: HSALNT0267407
Source: RNAcentral
GUGAAUGGCAGCGAUGCAUCCUUUGUGAGCUGAGGCUUUUAAGAAGCUGGUGAGGCUUCCUAUGCUUUCUUUCUGCUUCUGCUGGCUAGAAACAAAGGACACUGAGGCCCUCGGGGGAUGGUAGAGCCACAGGAAGCACCCCGGGUCCUUAAAUCAACAUGCGGAGGAAAGCCAACGGCCAGCCAUGGAUACUUGCAUUGGACUUUUAAGUGAAUGAGAGGGACACCUGCGGCUCCAGGUCAGAGAUGCACCUGCUAGUCCUGCCUCUACAGGACCCAACCCAUCAGUUCCUAGCUUGUCCUUCUGGUGAGAAUUGAGCACACUAUACUGUGGACAUAAAGACAAGUCAAGGGAACUAGUCAGCCCUGGCUGUUGGAGAACAGUCCUUGGGAUACUCACCAGGGUCUCCACCAUGUUGGAUUUGUUGUUACGCAGUGUUUUCACGAUGUGGAACACGUCAAUGAUGUUUUGCUGCUGGAUCAUCUCACACACACUGCAGAUGGCACAGAAGGUUCCACUACGGCCUCCCCCAUUUCUAAACACAGAGCAAAGAGAAACCAGCAAGAAACUGAGCUCGGCUCCCUGGCUCACAUAGACAUGGAACAGAGAUCACAUCUGUGAGUGGAGGAGCCAGACUUUUCAUAUAAGCACAUGUAAAACUUUUGAAGUUGGCUGAUCCAAGAAUAGAUUCAAAUUCUUCAGCCAAGAGUCUAGACCAACUGACUUUUUCCACUUCAUUGCCUAGUUGACCCUUUGGGCCCGGAGCUCACGCACGCAGUUGAAGAUGUCCACCACCCCUUCAUUCUCGGCCAUGUCAAGCAUGGUGUCAAUGGCAAUGAAGCAGCCAGUCCGCCCAGCCCCAGCACUGGAAGAGAGCAAAUGGGUUGACGGAUGGAAGCAAAGAAGGAGAGGAGAGAGAACAGAGGGGAGAUGAAUGACAGGACAGAAACGAGAGUCCUCUGAGCUGUCCCCAAGACAGAGAGUGGUUGGUGGAGCACCACGUUCAAAGGCCGGCAUCUGGCUCCACCUGCAGCUGUUUUCGCAGGAUCGUGAAGCAAGAGUGUCAUGAAACUGGAGCAGCUGACCGUCCGGAGACCCUUGUCAGGGAUCAAGUUUCUUGAUACAUACUUACUUGAUUUCUGGUCACUAGUGGCUUCUUUAGGAGAAUCUCAGACCAAGUAUAAAAUGGUAGGGGAACUCAACGAGACUCUAUGGGCCUUGGCCAGCCCUUUCUAGAUCAGUGCUGGGCUCUGAAACAUCAGUGCUGACCAAGAGGCACGUAAGACAUGUGCCUUACACAUGUGCAGUUUUGGAUGGGAAGGCCGGGCAGCCUGUCAAGGAGGCCCCCUUCCGCUGCGUUUUCACAUCUUGCCUUUCUCAUGGAAACAAGUGUCUUUGUCUAACAAUGUAGAUGUCAAAAGACACACAAAGAGGAAGAGAGAUGGAACAAGACAAAAAAGCAAUAUUGGCUCAUGGUAAAUCCAAGGGGCACAGGCCAGUGCGGACCACUACCUACAACAAUUUGGAAAGUACACCCAUUGGAAGCAGAGUCUUCAUUCAUGAGAAACUUUCAUGGUUUGAAUGAAGUCUGACUUAAGUUUGCUUCAGAACCUACUCCCCAAAAUCCAGAUGCGGGGACUCAAGAGACUUGGCCUCUGUGUCUGGGAGGGAGUAUAGGGGGGGUCACUCGUGUUUUUUUCUUCAAUGUUCAUAUUCACCAUGCUUUAGUAUAAAGAAUCAGCCCAAUUUGGUUCCAAAUUUUGGAACAACUAUCAAUCAAUCAGCGGUGACCAAGUUGCCUAGUGUCCGUUUGUUUGUUAGCUUCAGAUUUCUGAUGCUUUUAACAUACCUCCCUGCAGGGUCCUUGUGAGGACAAAGCUGUGUUUAUUUCAUUUCAGCAUCACAUAGUAAUUGAACACAGGAUAUUUGAAAAGACCCCCUAGGAUUAAAUCCUGGCUCUAUUACUUAUUAGCUGCAUGACCUCGGGCAAAUGACUUAACCUCUCUGGGUUUCAAUACUCAUCUAUAAAAUGAUGUUGAUAAUAAUUAAAAUACUCACUCAUCUAUAAAAUGAUGUUGAUAAUAAUUAAUAGAUCCACCUCACAGCAUUAAUAGCACAAUAUGUAUAAAUUGGAUGAAAUUACAAUUAAAAUGCAUAAUGCAUACAAAUUGCUUUGUGCCUGGAUACAUAGCCAUUUUUUAUUGAGAAAUUAUUACUAUUAUAUUCAACAAAUAUUUAUUGAAAAUCUAAGAUGCAGUAGAUGCUGGUAUUAGGAGUGGGAAUAUGAAAACAAACAAACAUUGUUCCUGUCCUGAAGGAUUAAUAAAUAAUCUGGGGAGGGGGAGAAAGAAAACAUUAAGAGGAGGCAGAGAAUAAUGAUAUAUUAGAGUGCUUACUAUAUGUCAGGCAUUCUCUCUUAGGCACUUAGCCAACCCAUUUGGUAAUAAUUUUCAGAAUGGCCCCAGGAGUGGGUACCACUCUGCUCAGAUGCAUUAAGAUGACCUGCUAAGGAGACACAUACCGGCGUAGAGCCAUCAUGCGCCGAAGUCCUGAUGAUAAACAAACAUUUGCCAUUGUCUUUCUUUCUUUCUCCCUAACCCUUGAUCUGGGUGCUCUUUGGGAUAUAGAGAUGGGGGGCAUUAAUGAUCCAUUGCCCUUUGAUUGCUAUGAGAUAUAAAGCAAAGCAGAAAAUACAUGCAAAACAUUUAGAGAGUCCAGGAUUACCUCCUCAUCCUCACUUGCCUUAUCUGUGAAAUGGGGUUGUGUAGCUACUAUUGCUGGGAAG